GGGGCAUAGGGUAUUGGUCAUAGGUGGAGGAGGAGCAGUAGGUUUCUCUGCAAUUCAGCUUGCUGUGGCUGCAGGCUGCCAUGUUUCUACUACGUGUGGAGGAGAGAGUAUAAGUCGCAUUUUAGCAGCCGGUGCUGAGCAGGCCAUUGACUAUACCAGUGAGGAUGCUGAAGUAGCACUUAAGGGGCAUUUUGAUGCUGUCUUGGAUACAAUUGGUGUGCCAGAUACAGAGAGAAUGGGCAUUAGCCUUUUAAAGAAAGGUGGACACUACAUGACGUUACAGGGGGAGGCUGCAUCGGUGACUGAUAGGCAUGGACUAGCUAUUGGUCUUCCUAUGGCAGCAGCCAUCUUGCUGAAGAAGCAAAUCCAAUAUCGAUAUUCUCAUGGAAUAGAA
RNAcentral lists this unclassified non-coding RNA (394 nucleotides) under Hevea brasiliensis (rubber tree). The record is from RNAcentral. Lineage: Eukaryota; Viridiplantae; Streptophyta; Magnoliopsida; Malpighiales; Euphorbiaceae.